CCGUAACUAUAACGGUCCUAAGGUAGCGAAAUUCCUUGUCGGGUAAGUUCCGACCUGCACGAAUGGCGUAAUGAUGGCCAGGCUGUCUCCACCCGAGACUCAGUGAAAUUGAACUCGCUGUGAAGAUGCAGUGUACCCGCGGCAAGACGGAAAGACCCCGUGAACCUUUACUAUAGCUUGACACUGAACAUUGAGCCUUGAUGUGUAGGAUAGGUGGGAGGCUUUGAAGUGUGGACGCCAGUCUGCAUGGAGCCGACCUUGAAAUACCACCCUUUAAUGUUUGAUGUUCUAACGUGGACCCGUUACCCGGGUUGCGGACAGUGUCUGGUGGGUAGUUUGACUGGGGCGGUCUCCUCCUAAAGAGUAACGGAGGAGCACGAAGGUUGGCUAAUCCUGGUCGGACAUCAGGAGGUUAGUGCAAUGGCAUAAGCCAGCUUGACUGCGAGCGUGACGGCGCGAGCAGGUGCGAAAGCAGGUCAUAGUGAUCCGGUGGUUCUGAAUGGAAGGGCCAUCGCUCAACGGAUAAAAGGUACUCCGGGGAUAACAGGCUGAUACCGCCCAAGAGUUCAUAUCGACGGCGGUGUUUGGCACCUCGAUGUCGGCUCAUCACAUCCUGGGGCUGAAGUAGGUCCCAAGGGUAUGGCUGUUCGCCAUUUAAAGUGGUACGCGAGCUGGGUUUAGAACGUCGUGAGACAGUUCGGUCCCUAUCUGCCGUGGGCGCUGGAGAACUGAGGGGGGCUGCUCCUAGUACGAGAGGACCGGAGUGGACGCAUCACUGGUGUUCGGGUUGUCAUGCCAAUGGCACUGCCCGGUAGCUAAAUGCGGAAGAGAUAAGUGCUGAAAGCAUCUAAGCACGAAACUUGCCCCGAGAUGAGUUCUCCCUGAGACUUAGAGUCUCCUG
This 901-nucleotide ribosomal RNA is filed under the name Salmonella enterica subsp. enterica serovar Paratyphi A. RNAcentral's name for it is "partial 23S ribosomal RNA". It matches the Rfam family "Bacterial large subunit ribosomal RNA", at positions 1934 to 2830 of the family's 2925-position model. The record is from RNAcentral. Lineage: Bacteria; Pseudomonadati; Pseudomonadota; Gammaproteobacteria; Enterobacterales; Enterobacteriaceae.